UACAGAGGGGGCAAGCGUUGUUCGGAAUUACUGGGCGUAAAGGGCGCGUAGGCGGCCUGCUAAGUCGAACGUGAAAUCCCUGGGCUCAACCCAGGAACUGCGUCCGAUACUGGUUGGCUUGAAUCCGGGAGAGGGAUGUGGAAUUCCAGGUGUAGCGGUGAAAUGCGUAGAUAUCUGGAGGAACACCGGUGGCGAAGGCGACUCUUUGGCCUGUAACUGACGCUGAGGCGCGAAAGCGUGGGGAGCAAACAGG
This 253-nucleotide ribosomal RNA is filed under the name uncultured bacterium. RNAcentral's name for it is "partial 16S ribosomal RNA". It matches the Rfam family "Bacterial small subunit ribosomal RNA", at positions 524 to 776 of the family's 1533-position model. The record is from RNAcentral.